This 254-nucleotide ribosomal RNA is filed under the name uncultured bacterium. RNAcentral's name for it is "partial 16S ribosomal RNA". It matches the Rfam family "Bacterial small subunit ribosomal RNA", at positions 524 to 776 of the family's 1533-position model. The record is from RNAcentral.
UACGUAGGGUGCAAGCGUUAUCCGGAAUCAUUGGGCGUAAAGAGCUCGUAGGCGGUUCAACAAGUCGGCUGUGAAAGUCCGAGGCUUAACCUCGGAAUUGCAGUCGAUACUGUUGUGACUCGAGUCCGGUAGAGGAGAAUGGAAUUCCCGGUGUAGCGGUGAAAUGCGCAGAUAUCGGGAGGAACACCAGUAGCGAAGGCGGUUCUCUGGGCCGGCACUGACGCUGAGGAGCGAAAGCGUGGGGAGCGAACAGG